AUGCACGCUGGCGGCGUGCCUCAUCCCUGCAAGUCGAGCGAACGGACGAGAAGCUUGCUUCUCUGAUGUUAGCGGCGGACGGGUGAGUAACACGUGGAUAACCUACCUAUAAGACUGGGAUAACUUCGGGAAACCGGAGCUAAUACCGGAUGAUAUUUUGAACCGCAUGGUUCAAAAGUGAAAGACGGUCUUGCUGUCACUUAUAGAUGGAUCCGCGCUGCAUUAGCUAGUUGGUAAGGUAACGGCUUACCGAGGCAACGAUGCAUAGCCGACCUGAGAGGGUGAUCGGCCACACUGGAACUGAGACACGGUCCAGACUCCUACGGGAGGCAGCAGUAGGGAAUCUUCCGCAAUGGGCGAAAGCCUGACGGAGCAACGCCGCGUGAGUGAUGAAGGUCUUCGGAUCGUAAAACUCUGUUAUUAGGGAAGAACAUAUGUGUAAGUAACUGUGCACAUCUUGACGGCACCUAAUCAGAAAGCCACGGCUAACUACGUG
Molecule: ribosomal RNA, 496 nt
Filed under: uncultured bacterium
Lineage: Bacteria
Description: partial 16S ribosomal RNA
Rfam family: Bacterial small subunit ribosomal RNA
Source: RNAcentral